CUUCUGUCCAGACAAGAUGAGACAAACCAGUUGACUUGAAGACACCUGUGAAAUGAAGAGUUUGUACAGGUGUGUCCUGAUGUUCCUGUCUUGACUGGGAGAAACCUGUGAUGAUGAGAAACUCCUGUCCAGACAAGAUGAGACAAACCAGUUGACUUGAAGACACCUGUGAAAUGAAGAGUUUGUACAGGUGUGUCCUGAUGUUCCUGUCUUGACUGGGAGAAACCUGUGAUGAUGAGAAACUCCUGUCCAGACAAGAUGAGACAAACCAGUUGACUUGAAGACACCUGAGGG
Branchiostoma belcheri (Belcher's lancelet) is the source of this 294-nucleotide long non-coding RNA. RefSeq lists it as uncharacterized. Lineage: Eukaryota; Metazoa; Chordata; Leptocardii; Amphioxiformes; Branchiostomatidae. The transcript is spliced from 3 exons. The record is from RefSeq and is a predicted model, not a curated record.